RNAcentral lists this ribosomal RNA (804 nucleotides) under uncultured Ascomycota. RNAcentral's name for it is "LSU rRNA". It matches the Rfam family "Eukaryotic large subunit ribosomal RNA", at positions 408 to 1236 of the family's 3401-position model. Lineage: Eukaryota; Fungi; Ascomycota. The record is from RNAcentral.
UUGAAAGGGAAGCGCUUGCAGCCAGACGUGCCCGUAGUUGCUCAUCGGGGGUUCUCCCCCGUGUACUCUUCUAUGGGCAGGCCAGCAUCAGUCCGGGCGGUUGGAGAAAGACCUGUGUCAUGUAGCUGUUUUCGGGCAGUGUCAUAGGGCAGGUGGAAUGCAACCAGCCUGGACUGAGGUCCGCGCAUCUGCUAGGAUGCUGGCGUAAUGGCUGUAAGCGGCCCGUCUUGAAACACGGACCAAGGAGUCUAACAUCUAUGCGAGUGUUUGGGUGUCAAGCCCGAGCGCGUAAUGAAAGUGAACGGAGGUGGGAACCUUUUAGGUGCACCAUCGACCGAUCCUGAUGUCUUCGGAUGGAUUUGAGUAAGAGCAUAGCUGUUGGGACCCGAAAGAUGGUGAACUAUGCCUGAAUAGGGUGAAGCCAGAGGAAACUCUGGUGGAGGCUCGCAGCGGUUCUGACGUGCAAAUCGAUCGUCAAAUUUGGGCAUAGGGGCGAAAGACUAAUCGAACUAUCUAGUAGCUGGUUCCUGCCGAAGUUUCCCUCAGGAUAGCAGUAACGUUUUCAGUUUUAUGAGGUAAAGCGAAUGAUUAGAGGCCUGGGGGUUGAAACAACCUUCACCUAUUCUCAAACUUUAAAUAUGUAAGAAGUCCUUGUUUCUUAAUUGAACGUGGACAUUUGAAUGUAUCGUUACUAGUGGGCCAUUUUUGGUAAGCAGAACUGGCGAUGCGGGAUGAACCGAACGCGGGGUUAAGGUGCCAGAAUGCACGCUCAUCAGACACCACAAAAGGUGUUGGUUCAUCUAG